This is a long non-coding RNA of Ostrinia nubilalis (European corn borer), 291 nucleotides long. RefSeq lists it as uncharacterized. Lineage: Eukaryota; Metazoa; Arthropoda; Insecta; Lepidoptera; Crambidae. The transcript is spliced from 2 exons. The record is from RefSeq and is a predicted model, not a curated record.
UUUCCCCUGACAGAACCACAAACCGGUUUUAUGUUUUGUAAAAAAUAUUAAUAAAAUUGCAAUAAAAAUACAAAAUGUGUUGGUUAGGCUGGGCAGUAGCGUUUUCUUUACUCUCCUACAUGUUUAUGACACCAAAACCUCAUUAAAAUGUGAUGACAUCAUCCAAGCCUGAAGAAGAAAAUUAAAUGAUCAUCGCCGAUUUCUGAAGAAUGUGUUGUACUCUGUCCAGCAACCAAGAAAAAAAUUGUAAAACAUGCAAAUGAUAAAAAUAUACUCGAUUUUUGUAACUAA